This 73-nucleotide transfer RNA is filed under the name Ailuropoda melanoleuca (giant panda). It matches the Rfam family "tRNA". From Rfam's summary of the family: Transfer RNA (tRNA) molecules are approximately 80 nucleotides in length. Lineage: Eukaryota; Metazoa; Chordata; Mammalia; Carnivora; Ursidae. The record is from Rfam by way of RNAcentral.
ACCUGACUGGCUCAGUCAGUAGAGCAUGUGACUCUUGAUCUUGAAGUUGUGAGUUCAAGCUCCAUGUUGGGUA